Cavia aperea (Brazilian guinea pig) is the source of this 118-nucleotide unclassified non-coding RNA. It matches the Rfam family "Y RNA". From Rfam's summary of the family: Y RNAs are components of the Ro ribonucleoprotein particle (Ro RNP), in association with Ro60 and La proteins. NCBI's taxonomy places the organism in Eukaryota, Metazoa, Chordata, Mammalia, Rodentia, Caviidae. The record is from Ensembl.
AGCAGGUGCUUAUGCCGCUGAGCUAAAUCCCCAGCCCCGGGUUAUCAGAACUUAUUAACAUUAGUGUCACUAAAGUUGGUAUACCACCCCCCCCACUGCUAAAUUUGACUGGCUUUAA